UGGGGAAUUUUCCGCAAUGGGCGCAAGCCUGACGGAGCAAUACCGCGUGAGGGAUGACGGCCCUUGGGUUGUAAACCUCUUUUAUCAAGGAGGAAGUUCUGACGUGUACUUGAUGAAUAAGCAUCGGCUAACUCCGUGCCAGCAGCCGCGGUAAGACGGAGGAUGCAAGUGUUAUCCGGAAUCACUGGGCGUAAAGCGUCUGUAGGUGGUUCGAAAAGUCCACUGUUAAAAAUUGAGGCUUAACUUCAAAGAUGCCGUGGAAACUUUCAAACUAGAGUAUGGUAGGGGUAGAGGGAAUUUCCAGUGGAGCGGUGAAAUGCGUAGAUAUUGGAAAGACCACCGAUGGCGAAGGCACUCUACUGGGCCAUUACUGACACUGAGAGACGAAAGCUAGGGGAGCAAAUGG
RNAcentral lists this ribosomal RNA (406 nucleotides) under uncultured bacterium. RNAcentral's name for it is "bacterial SSU rRNA". It matches the Rfam family "Bacterial small subunit ribosomal RNA", at positions 355 to 775 of the family's 1533-position model. The record is from RNAcentral.